CUACGGGAUGCAGCAGUGGGGAAUAUUGGACAAUGGGGGAAACCCUGAUCCAGCAAUGCCGCGUGUGUGAAGAAGGCCUGCGGGUUGUAAAGCACUUUCGGUUGGGAGGACUGCUUCUAGCACUAAUAUUGUUGGAAGUUGACGUUACCUUCAGAAGAAGCACCGGCUAACUCCGUGCCAGCAGCCGCGGUGAAUACGGAGGGUGCAAGCGUUAAUCGGAAUUACUGGGCGUAAAGCGCGCGUAGGCGGCUAGUUCAGUCGGGUGUGAAAGCCCCGGGCUUAACCUGGGAACUGCAUCCGAUACUGUCUAGCUUGAGUACAGGAGAGGAGAGUGGAAUUCCACAUGUAGCGGUGAAAUGCGUAGAUAUGUGGAGGAACACCAAUGGCGAAGGCAGCUCUCUGGCCUGAUACUGACGCUGAGGUGCGAAAGCGUGGGGAGCAAACAGGAUUAGAUACCCUAGUAGUC
This 466-nucleotide ribosomal RNA is filed under the name uncultured bacterium. RNAcentral describes it as "partial 16S ribosomal RNA". It matches the Rfam family "Bacterial small subunit ribosomal RNA", at positions 339 to 795 of the family's 1533-position model. The record is from RNAcentral.